RNAcentral lists this ribosomal RNA (1553 nucleotides) under Escherichia coli. RNAcentral's name for it is "bacterial SSU rRNA". It matches the Rfam family "Bacterial small subunit ribosomal RNA". The record is from RNAcentral. Lineage: Bacteria; Pseudomonadati; Pseudomonadota; Gammaproteobacteria; Enterobacterales; Enterobacteriaceae.
AAAUUGAAGAGUUUGAUCAUGGCUCAGAUUGAACGCUGGCGGCAGGCCUAACACAUGCAAGUCGAACGGUAACAGGAAACAGCUUGCUGUUUCGCUGACGAGUGGCGGACGGGUGAGUAAUGUCUGGGAAACUGCCUGAUGGAGGGGGAUAACUACUGGAAACGGUAGCUAAUACCGCAUAACGUCGCAAGACCAAAGAGGGGGACCUUCGGGCCUCUUGCCAUCAGAUGUGCCCAGAUGGGAUUAGCUAGUAGGUGGGGUAACGGCUCACCUAGGCGACGAUCCCUAGCUGGUCUGAGAGGAUGACCAGCCACACUGGAACUGAGACACGGUCCAGACUCCUACGGGAGGCAGCAGUGGGGAAUAUUGCACAAUGGGCGCAAGCCUGAUGCAGCCAUGCCGCGUGUAUGAAGAAGGCCUUCGGGUUGUAAAGUACUUUCAGCGGGGAGGAAGGGAGUAAAGUUAAUACCUUUGCUCAUUGACGUUACCCGCAGAAGAAGCACCGGCUAACUCCGUGCCAGCAGCCGCGGUAAUACGGAGGGUGCAAGCGUUAAUCGGAAUUACUGGGCGUAAAGCGCACGCAGGCGGUUUGUUAAGUCAGAUGUGAAAUCCCCGGGCUCAACCUGGGAACUGCAUCUGAUACUGGCAAGCUUGAGUCUCGUAGAGGGGGUAGAAUUCCAGGUGUAGCGGUGAAAUGCGUAGAGAUCUGGAGGAAUACCGGUGGCGAAGGCGGCCCCCUGGACGAAGACUGACGCUCAGGUGCGAAAGCGUGGGGAGCAAACAGGAUUAGAUACCCUGGUAGUCCACGCCGUAAACGAUGUCGACUUGGAGGUUGUGCCCUUGAGGCGUGGCUUCCGGAGCUAACGCGUUAAGUCGACCGCCUGGGGAGUACGGCCGCAAGGUUAAAACUCAAAUGAAUUGACGGGGGCCCGCACAAGCGGUGGAGCAUGUGGUUUAAUUCGAUGCAACGCGAAGAACCUUACCUGGUCUUGACAUCCACGGAAGUUUUCAGAGAUGAGAAUGUGCCUUCGGGAACCGUGAGACAGGUGCUGCAUGGCUGUCGUCAGCUCGUGUUGUGAAAUGUUGGGUUAAGUCCCGCAACGAGCGCAACCCUUAUCCUUUGUUGCCAGCGGUCCGGCCGGGAACUCAAAGGAGACUGCCAGUGAUAAACUGGAGGAAGGUGGGGAUGACGUCAAGUCAUCAUGGCCCUUACGACCAGGGCUACACACGUGCUACAAUGGCGCAUACAAAGAGAAGCGACCUCGCGAGAGCAAGCGGACCUCAUAAAGUGCGUCGUAGUCCGGAUUGGAGUCUGCAACUCGACUCCAUGAAGUCGGAAUCGCUAGUAAUCGUGGAUCAGAAUGCCACGGUGAAUACGUUCCCGGGCCUUGUACACACCGCCCGUCACACCAUGGGAGUGGGUUGCAAAAGAAGUAGGUAGCUUAACCUUCGGGAGGGCGCUUACCACUUUGUGAUUCAUGACUGGGGUGAAGUCGUAACAAGGUAACCGUAGGGGAACCUGCGGUUGGAUCACCUCCUUACCUUAAAGAAGC